RNAcentral lists this ribosomal RNA (468 nucleotides) under uncultured bacterium. RNAcentral describes it as "partial 16S ribosomal RNA". It matches the Rfam family "Bacterial small subunit ribosomal RNA", at positions 28 to 507 of the family's 1533-position model. The record is from RNAcentral.
GACGAACGCUGGCGGCGUGCUUAACACAUGCAAGUCGAACGGACAGGCCCGGCUUUUGCUGGGUGCUCGAUUGGCGAACGGGUGAGAGACACGCGAGUAACCCGCCCUUGACAGUGGGAUAACUUCAGGAAACUGGGGCUAAUAUCGGAUAGAAGAUCCUGCUCCGUGGGGGGGGUUGGAGAGUUUCGGCGUUUGGGGAUGGACUCGCGGCUUAUCAGCUUGUUGGUGGGGUAGGGGCUUUCCACGGCUUUGACGGGUAGCCGGCCUGAGAGGGUGACCGGCCACAUUGGGACUGAGAUACGGCCCAGACUCCUACGGGAGGCAGCAGUGGGGAAUAUUGCACAAUGGGCGGAAGCCUGAUGCAGCAACGCCGCGUGCGGGAUGACGGCCUUCGGGUUGUAAACCGCUUUCGCCUGUGACGAAGCGUGAGUGACGGUAAUGGGUAAAGAAGCACCGGCUAACUACGUG